AAUGCUAAACGUGAUGGUCACUUUGCCUCCAUGAGGCCCAUUGCUUGAAAGGAACUCAGUCACUUUGCCUCCAUGAGGCCCAUUGCUCAAAAGGAACUUAGCCACUUUUGUCUGUGUGAGGCCCAACACUCAAAAGGAACUAAGCCAUUUUUGCCUCCAUGAGGCCAAACGCUUCAAAGGAACUCAGCUACUUUGCCUCCAUGAGGCCCAAUGCUCCAACCAUGU
Long non-coding RNA from Octopus sinensis (East Asian common octopus), 225 nucleotides. RefSeq lists it as uncharacterized. Lineage: Eukaryota; Metazoa; Mollusca; Cephalopoda; Octopoda; Octopodidae. The record is from RefSeq and is a predicted model, not a curated record. The transcript has 3 exons.